GUAGGUGAACCUGCGGAAGGAUCAUUAACAAAGAUGUGUAUGAGGUGUGUGAGGUGAAUAGUAAUAUUCUCCUUCCACCUUUGACAUUUGCCCGGCCGCAAGGCUGAGGAAGGAGGGGGAGAGCUCUUUUUUAAGGCUUUAACCCCUCCAUAUAUACGCGUGUUUGUAUGGCUGUUUGAUGGUAAAUAAUAUGACAACUUUUAACAAUGGAUCUCUUGGCUCUUGCAUCGAUGAAGAACGCAGCAUCUGA
This 250-nucleotide unclassified non-coding RNA is filed under the name plant metagenome. Its description in RNAcentral is "partial contains small subunit ribosomal RNA, internal transcribed spacer 1, and 5.8S ribosomal RNA". The stretch from base 196 to 250 matches the Rfam family "5.8S ribosomal RNA", at positions 1 to 54 of the family's 154-position model. The record is from RNAcentral.